RNAcentral lists this ribosomal RNA (497 nucleotides) under uncultured bacterium. RNAcentral describes it as "partial 16S ribosomal RNA". It matches the Rfam family "Bacterial small subunit ribosomal RNA", at positions 28 to 507 of the family's 1533-position model. The record is from RNAcentral.
GACGAACGCUGGCGGCGUGCCUAAUACAUGCAAGUAGAACGCUGAAGAGAGGAGCUCGCUCUUCUUGGGUGAGUGGCGAACGGGUGAGUAACGCGUAGGUAACCUGCCUUGUAGCGGGGGAUAACUAUUGGAAACGAUAGCUAAUACCGCAUAACAAUGGAUGACACAUGUAAUUUAUGUGAAAGGGGCAAUUGCUCCACCACAAGAUGGACCUGCGUUGUAUUAGCUAGUAGGUGAGGAAAGGGCCCACCUAGGCGGCGGUACAUAGCCGGACCGAGAGGGUGGACGGCCAACCUUGGACUGGAGCCCGGGCCCGGCCCCUACCGGGAGGCGCCGUAGGGGAUCUUUGGCCAUUGGGGCAACCCUGGCCGAGGCCAGCCGCGUGAGGUGAGGAGGGUCUCGGGUCGUUAAGCCCUGUUGUGAGUGAAGGAAGGGUAGGAGGGUGGAACGUUCACACUGUGACGGUAGCUUAACAGAAAGCGACGGCUAACUACGUG